This 223-nucleotide long non-coding RNA is filed under the name Homo sapiens (human). RNAcentral describes it as "non-protein coding lnc-YES1-3:2". Lineage: Eukaryota; Metazoa; Chordata; Mammalia; Primates; Hominidae. The record is from RNAcentral.
AUGGCUUCCCAUGCUUUGACAAAACCUCGGAUGCAUGGCCUUCUGGCCGAGCAUCUGCAAUUUCAUAUUGUUGGAGUAUUCAUGGUAUCCCUGGAGCUUGCAGUUUUCUGUAAGUUUGCUGUGGCUGAACCAAGAAAGAAGGUGUACACAGAUUUUUACAGAAAUUAUGAUUCCAUGAAAGACUUUGAGGAGAUGAGGAAGGCUGGUAUUUUUUGGAGUGUGA